Molecule: long non-coding RNA, 251 nt
Filed under: Ananas comosus (pineapple)
Lineage: Eukaryota; Viridiplantae; Streptophyta; Magnoliopsida; Poales; Bromeliaceae
Description: long non-coding RNA (ACOM_LNC035827)
Source: RNAcentral
UGUUUAAUAGCUCAAAUGGUAGAUUUGCAUGUUAUGGAUGAAAUCUAAGUUUUGCAGUAUGUUUAGUUAAUUUAUGAUAAUUAAUAUCUGCUGAACUGGGAUUUGACUUAGGAGAAAACUUAUUAACCUACACGUGACACUUUUCGAAAAAUUAACAGCUUUAGCUUCAGGAGCUGAUUUUUUUUUUGUAUCACCGUUGUUAGUGCGUCGUGGAUACUUAGACUAAUAUAGUUUGAGUUUAUACUUGUGCU